AGAGCGAACGCUGGCGGCAGGCCUAACACAUGCAAGUCGAGCGGGCAUCGCAAGAUGUCAGCGGCAGACGGGAGAGUAACACGUGGGAACAUGCCCUUCGGUUCGGAAUAACUCAGGGAAACUUGAGCUAAUACCGGAUACGUCCGUAAGGAGAAAGAUUUAUCGCCGAAGGAUUGGCCCGCGUCCGAUUAGCUAGUUGGUGAGGUAAUGGCUCACCAAGGCGACGAUCGGUAGCUGGUCUGAGAGGAUGAUCAGCCUCACUGGGACUGAGACACGGCCCAGACUCCUACGGGAGGCAGCAGUGGGGAAUAUUGGACAAUGGGCGCAAGCCUGAUCCAGCCAUGCCGCGUGGGUGAUGAAGGCCCUAGGGUUGUAAAGCCCUUUCGGCGGGGAAGAUAAUGACGGUACCCGCAGAGAAGCCCGGCUAACUUCGUGCCAGCAGCCGC
This 446-nucleotide ribosomal RNA is filed under the name uncultured bacterium. RNAcentral's name for it is "SSU rRNA". It matches the Rfam family "Bacterial small subunit ribosomal RNA", at positions 26 to 518 of the family's 1533-position model. The record is from RNAcentral.